CAUGCUACGCUGAUCGGAAUCCUGAAAAGUAGACGCCACACUAUUAAGCAAUAACAACAAACAACCAAACAGCAAACACACGAACAACGAGCAGCGCAAUAAAAAAAAACGUCAACAGUAUUAUCGAUGAAGAAACUGGUGGAAAUUGAGACUAAAAAGUGCAGAAAAGUCAAGAAAAGCUGCUGCACGUAAAAUCAGAUGAUACCGUGAGACAAAUUCAAGGCGUUAAUUUAGGCACGUAUUGGAAAUAAAAAAAAAAGCUUUCUAGCAUUCCUUUAAUACGCACUGGGAUUUUUCACAGCUGGUGGUUGUAGUAAAUGUCAAACAAGCGCCGUAAACAAAGCGCUGAGUAGGCCGACUGCGAAUUAAAGAGCGCAACACAACGUUUUACGGAGAAACUACAGAGCAACAACGUUGAAGCAACUAGAAGGAAAGAGAAUUUAUCAUAAAUAUUUUUUAAGACAGUGGUUGGAAAUAAAUAUUUCAUUCAUUCACUCUAAUAUAUAGUAUAGGUAUAUGUCCAUUCCCACAUUAAUAUGCAAUGCCACGCUUUCUAUCAAACACAUUUAGUUCAAUAAAUCGUAACAUGAACACUUCCGCACACAACAAGUUUGUAUCUAUUCCCAGGAACGUUAUCUUUAAAGCGUAGGUGGAGCUAAUAAUUUGAUAUUUUGCAAAUUCCAGAGCGUGCGUAUAUCCUAUUACACAUAUACAUACUCCUCCCGACAUCACCGGCAAGUAUACUAGGCAUAUUUGUAAGCUAUUAACUGAAUUUUGACACUUGCUUUUGGUGUGCCCAUUCGCAGCACAUCCUGCCCCAACAUUUAUAUACAAAUUAUUGGUUCCUUUUUUCGCGUACUCCCAGUAUUCAAUUCAUACCCGCCAC
Molecule: long non-coding RNA, 886 nt
Organism: Bactrocera oleae (olive fruit fly)
Lineage: Eukaryota; Metazoa; Arthropoda; Insecta; Diptera; Tephritidae
Source: RefSeq, a predicted model, not a curated record